This 730-nucleotide ribosomal RNA is filed under the name uncultured bacterium. Its description in RNAcentral is "bacterial SSU rRNA". It matches the Rfam family "Bacterial small subunit ribosomal RNA", at positions 8 to 737 of the family's 1533-position model. The record is from RNAcentral.
AGAGUUUGAUCAUGGCUCAGGAUGAACGCUAGCGGCAGGCCUAAUACAUGCAAGUCGAGGGGUAGAGGUUGCUUGCAACCUUGAGACCGGCGCACGGGUGCGUAACGCGUAUGCAACCUACCUUGAUCUGGGGGAUAGCCCGAAGAAAUUCGGAUUAACACCGCAUAAAAUCACAGUACCGCAUGGUACAAUGAUCAAAUAUUUAUAGGAUUGAGAUGGGCAUGCGUGUCAUUAGUUAGUUGGCGGGGUAACGGCCCACCAAGACCGCGAUGACUAGGGGAUCUGAGAGGAUGGCCCCCCACACUGGUACUGAGACACGGACCAGACUCCUACGGGAGGCAGCAGUAAGGAAUAUUGGUCAAUGGAGGCAACUCUGAACCAGCCAUGCCGCGUGCAGGAAGACAGCCCUCUGGGUCGUAAACUGCUUUUAUUCGGGAAUAAACCUACUUACGUGUAAGUAGCUGAAUGUACCGAAGGAAUAAGGAUCGGCUAACUCCGUGCCAGCAGCCGCGGUAAUACGGAGGAUCCAAGCGUUAUCCGGAUUUAUUGGGUUUAAAGGGUGCGUAGGCGGCCUGUUAAGUCAGGGGUGAAAGACGGUAGCUCAACUAUCGCAGUGCCCUUGAUACUGAUGGGCUUGAAUACACUAGAGGUAGGCGGAAUGUGACAAGUAGCGGUGAAAUGCAUAGAUAUGUCACAGAACACCGAUUGCGAAGGCAGCUUACUAUGGUGU